AACGAACGCUGGCGGCAGGCUUAACACAUGCAAGUCGAGCGUGAAGCACUUUUCGGAGUGUGGAAAGCGGCAGACGGGUGAGUAACGCGUGGGAACGUACCUUUUGGUGGGGGAUAACGAUUGGAAACGAUCGCUAAUACCGCAUAUACCUUUAGAGGGAAAGAUUUAUUGCCAGAAGAUCGGCCCGCGUUAGAUUAGGUUGUUGGUGGGGUAAUGGCCUACCAAGCCUACGAUCUAUAGCUGGUUUGAGAGAAUGAUCAGCCACACUGGAAUUGAGAGACGGUCCAGACUCCUACGGGAGGCAGCAGUGGGGAAUAUUGCACAAUGGGCGAAAGCCUGAUGCAGCCAUGCCGCGUGAGUGAUGAAGGCCUUCGGGUUGUAAAACUCUUUCAAUUGUGAAGAUGAUGACGGUAGCAAUACAAGAAGCCCCGGCUAACUUCG
This 441-nucleotide ribosomal RNA is filed under the name uncultured Alphaproteobacteria bacterium. Its description in RNAcentral is "bacterial SSU rRNA". It matches the Rfam family "Bacterial small subunit ribosomal RNA", at positions 29 to 505 of the family's 1533-position model. Lineage: Bacteria; Pseudomonadati; Pseudomonadota; Alphaproteobacteria. The record is from RNAcentral.